Molecule: ribosomal RNA, 253 nt
Filed under: uncultured bacterium
Lineage: Bacteria
Description: partial 16S ribosomal RNA
Rfam family: Bacterial small subunit ribosomal RNA
Source: RNAcentral
UACGGAGGGUGCGAGCGUUAUCCGGAUUUAUUGGGCGUAAAGGGCGCGUAGGCUGAAGAUUAAGUCAGUGGUGAAAUCCUGCGGCUCAACCGUAGAACUGCCUUUGAUACUGGUUUUCUUGAGUAUAGUAGAGGUAGGCGGAAUGUGUAAUGUAGCGGUGAAAUGCUUAGAUAUUGCACAGAACAUCAAUUGCGGAGGCAGCUUACUGAGCUAUAACUGACGCUGAGGCGCGAAAGCGUGGGGAGCGAACAGG